RNAcentral lists this ribosomal RNA (315 nucleotides) under uncultured bacterium. RNAcentral's name for it is "bacterial SSU rRNA". It matches the Rfam family "Bacterial small subunit ribosomal RNA", at positions 28 to 334 of the family's 1533-position model. The record is from RNAcentral.
GAUGAACGCUAGCUACAGGCCUAACACAUGCAAGUCGAGGGGCAGCAUGAACUUAGCUUGCUAAGUUUGGUGGCGACCGGCGCACGGGUGCGUAACGCGUAUCCAACCUACCCGUCACUCAGGGACAGCCCAUCGAAAGAUGGAUUAAUACCUGAUGUUCUGUCAUGAUCGCAUGUUUAUGACAGUAAAGAUUUAUUGGUGACGGAUGGGGAUGCGACCGAUUAGCUAGUUGGCGGGGUAACGGCCCACCAAGGCGACGAUCGGUAGGGGUUCUGAGAGGAAGGUCCCCCACACUGGAACUGAGACACGGUCCAG